GUUCUUUCUGUGCACAUAUACUAAACACAAAAAAGAUUAGCAUGGCAUCUAUGUAAGGAUGACACGCAAAAUCGUGAAUCUAGCUUUCUAUAU
This 93-nucleotide small nuclear RNA is filed under the name Mycetomoellerius zeteki. The record is from RNAcentral. Lineage: Eukaryota; Metazoa; Arthropoda; Insecta; Hymenoptera; Formicidae.